UACGAAGGGGGCUAGCGUUGCUCGGAAUCACUGGGCGUAAAGCGCACGUAGGCGGCUUCUUAAGUCAGGGGUGAAAUCCUGGAGCUCAACUCCAGAACUGCCUCUGAUACUGAGGAGCUCGAGUCCGGGAGAGGUGAGUGGAACUCCGGGUGUAGAGGUGAAAUUCGUAGAUAUUCGGAAGAACACCAGUGGCGAAGGCGGCUCACUGGCCCGGUACUGACGCUGAGGUGCGAAAGCGUGGGGAGCAAACAGG
RNAcentral lists this ribosomal RNA (253 nucleotides) under uncultured bacterium. RNAcentral describes it as "partial 16S ribosomal RNA". It matches the Rfam family "Bacterial small subunit ribosomal RNA", at positions 524 to 776 of the family's 1533-position model. The record is from RNAcentral.